ACGCUCGACACCUACGGGGGCAGCAGUCGGGAAUAUUGCGCAAUGGAGGAAACUCUGACGCAGUGACGCCGCGUAUGGGAAGAAGGUUUUCGGAUUGUAAACCAUUUUAGACAGGGAAGAAAAAAGACAGUACCUGUAAAAUAAGCUCCGGCUAACUACGUGCCACAGCCGCGGUAAUCUGAGCGGGCUGGCAAGGC
Molecule: ribosomal RNA, 197 nt
Filed under: uncultured bacterium
Lineage: Bacteria
Description: partial 16S ribosomal RNA
Rfam family: Bacterial small subunit ribosomal RNA
Source: RNAcentral